CCUACGGGGGGCAGCAGUGGGGAAUAUUGCACAAUGGGCGCAAGCCUGAUGCAGCGACGCCGCGUGAGGGAUGACGGCCUUCGGGUUGUAAACCUCUUUCAGUAGGGAAGAAGCGAAAGUGACGGUACCUGCAGAAGAAGCACCGGCUAACUACGUGCCAGCAGCCGCGGUAAUACGUAGGGUGCGAGCGUUAUCCGGAAUUAUUGGGCGUAAAGAGCUCGUAGGCGGUUUGUCGCGUCUGUCGUGAAAGUCCGGGGCUUAACCCCGGAUCUGCGGUGGGUACGGGCAGACUAGAGUGCAGUAGGGGAGACUGGAAUUCCUGGUGUAGCGGUGGAAUGCGCAGAUAUCAGGAGGAACACCGAUGGCGAAGGCAGGUCUCUGGGCUGUAACUGACGCUGAGGAGCGAAAGCAUGGGGAGCGAACAGGAUUAGAUACCCGGGUAGUC
Molecule: ribosomal RNA, 445 nt
Filed under: uncultured bacterium
Lineage: Bacteria
Description: bacterial SSU rRNA
Rfam family: Bacterial small subunit ribosomal RNA
Source: RNAcentral